Molecule: ribosomal RNA, 441 nt
Filed under: uncultured bacterium
Lineage: Bacteria
Description: bacterial SSU rRNA
Rfam family: Bacterial small subunit ribosomal RNA
Source: RNAcentral
CCUACGGGAGGCAGCAGUCGGGAAUUUUGGGCAAUGGGCGAAAGCCUGACCCAGCAACGCCGCGUGAAGGAUGAAGUAUUUCGGUAUGUAAACUUCGUAAGAAUGGGAAGAAACAAAUGACGGUACCAUUUGUAAGCCCCGGCUAACUACGUGCCAGCAGCCGCGGUAAUACGUAGGGGGCAAGCGUUGUUCGGAUUUACUGGGCGUAAAGGGCGCGUAGGCGGCGAAACAAGUCACUUGUGAAAUCUCUGGGCUUAACUCAGAACGGCCAAGUGAUACUGUUUUGCUAGAGUGCAGAAAGGGCAAUCGGAAUUCUUGGUGUAGCGGUGAAAUGCGUAGAUAUCAAGAGGAACACCUGAGGCGAAGGCGGGUUGCUAGGCUGACACUGACGCUGAUGCGCGAAAGCUAGGGUAGCAAACGGGAUUAGAUACCCCAGUAGUC